Long non-coding RNA from Varanus komodoensis (Komodo dragon), 2688 nucleotides. NCBI's taxonomy places the organism in Eukaryota, Metazoa, Chordata, Lepidosauria, Squamata, Varanidae. The record is from Ensembl.
AACUGGGCCUGAAGCUGCUUAGCUGCCAAGAUCAGAUGAGCUCAGGUGCUUUCAGGACAGAAUGGCCAUGGGCAAGCGGCUAAAGGUUUUUAAUGGGGUGUGAUAACUAUGUGGGAGUGUGUAAAAGCCACGUGCUUCUCAUGUCGCCCUCUUCUCCUUUGUGUCCCUUUAACAGGCCGGACCCCUUUCUUGCCAUCUCCCGCUGCUUCGGCAAAGGACACCCAGGAGUCUCAGAGGCAAAGGGCCAAAUAUUGGAGCAAGGAAGAGAUUGGAGUCUUUGUCGACUUAUGGGUCAGCCCGGAGGUGCAAAAUGAACUCCGGAAUAUGUACCAUAACGAGGCAGUCUUUAACUGGCUCUCCAAUGAAAUGGGCCUGCGAGGCUUCAACCGCUCGGCUCGCCAGUGCCGGGAGAAGAUGAACGCCCUGAAGAAGAAAUUUAAGGAGGUCACCACGCAGAAUAAGUGCCCCGGAGCGGAACUCAGCACCAUGCCCUUCUAUGAUAAGCUAGCCACGAUCCUCCUGCACAGAAGGGAUGGCACCCCUCGGUAUGCUGUGGGCAGCGGGGCGCCAGAUAAGGGCCCAUGGCCGAAGCAGGCGGCGCUGGCUCGGCAGGCCUCACCCCUCGCUCCGGGUACUUCUGGCCUGGCAAGGCAGCCUCUAACAAUGGCGAGCCAAGCCAGGCCGCCUCCUCAAAAGCAGGCCCGUCUUCUCCAGGGGAAGUUGGGUCCUGCUCAGGCCGGCUGGGUGUCCGCCCUUCACCACCACGAGCUUUUCUCACAGCCCAGCGGGAGCGCGUCGACGCAAGCCGAGGAUAAGCCUCUCAGAUUGAAUUCCCCAGGGCACCUCGCUUUGCUCACUCCCAAAAUUGAAGAGGAGGAGCCCCAGGAGGAGCAGCCCAGCUCGAGCGGCAAUGGGCUCCCCGGCGGCCUGCCCCCGGUGGAGGUGCGAGUGGUGGACGAGCAUGGCGCCACCGUUGCAAGCGCCAUGUACAAGCAGUGCAAGGAAGAGCAGGAAGAAGAGAGUGAGGCAGCCCUGGAUUUGGAGCUCGACUUUGACACGAAGCUAAUAAGAGAGAUCGUGGCUGAUGGAGACCCUCCGGAGGUAGCCGAGGUCCUCGUGGACCCGAACGCACUGUCAGAGCUGUCGGAAGAGCCGUGCAGCGGAGGGGAGGGGGAGGAUGACUUUCCUGUGGAUUUGCUCCAGUCUUUUGAGGACCGGUUCUCCACCAUCCACGGGCUCAGGAAUGGCAGCCAUGUGCGAGAAAGACUGGAUCGGAAGCAGCCGCCGCCCAGGGAUCCAUCUCUAGCUGAGCAAGAGGGCAAAGUGCUUGAAAAUGCAGAUCCCGCCUCUUUUCUCCUGGACGGCGUGGGACACAUGGAUGCUCGCGUGGGUGGUGAUCGGGCUGCCGGUGCAGCGGAGGAGCCGUGCUUUGACUAUAUCCCUCCUGCUGUGGAGCUGGAUGAAAAGGCACCGUUGACCAAUGCACAAAGGGCUGCAAGAUUCAGAAACAAGAGGAAAGCGGAGAGAGCGCAGAUGGCCAAAGAUCUUAUUAAGGCCACCAGGGAAACUGGGGAGCAAAUCCGAGAGGCUCUUUAUGAACUCGAUAGCAAGGAAUCGGAGAGGCGGGUCGACGACCGCAGGGUGGCCGUCUGGUGCGCAAGGCACAUCGCGAGGAGCAUACGGGAGUCCAGCCAGACGAUGGCGACAGCCAUGCGUGGCUCCGACGCGGCGCUCCAGAAGUGCAUGGAGAAGUACACUGCUGCCCUAGAGAGGCAAACGACUCUGUUGGAGCGCAUCGCGGACUCAUUAAACGCACAAGCAGUGGCUCCACAACCUUCUCCAAUUAUUCCCACCGAUAGGAUACGUGCGGCGUCCCUGCAUUCAAGUACCAUACCGGCCCCUUCCCUUCCCCAGCCCACGUGUGUUGAGCAAGACCCUCCGCUUGCUGAGAAGUCAGCCGGCGAACGAGGACGAGCUACUUAGGAAGCGGGGACGGGAGGUUAGGUGGAAGUAGCGGUGGGCCGCAAGGGUUGAACAGAAGGUUGAAGCCGCUGCAGCUUUUGCAUGGUUCCUCUUCUCAAGGAAAAAACGGUUCUCGAAGCAUUGAAAGGGGAUAAGAUGACGGUGGUGCUUCCAUUUACUGUCUACUGUAGGGGCGGGCAGAAUGUACACCUCCAGAUGUUUGGGACUUCAACCCCCCCGUAUUCCUGACCACGGGCUGUACUAGCAAGGGCUUCUGGGAGUUGAAGUCCAAGGCCUCUAGAGAUGUAAUUUUGCCCUGGCCCUGGUCUACUGUACCAUGCCUAUGAUCAGUGUUCUUUAGGCUUUUCUUUGUUAUGCUACUUGAGAAAGUGGUGCUGUUUUUUGCACCUUAUAGCAAUGCCUUUAUACAGGUCGAUGAUCUUUAUGGUUUACCAAGCCCGGAUUCGACCCGGCAUUUUUUUUUUAAAUAGCACUCCACAGUGCCCAGUUCUUUCUAGCCAGAAUUGCUCAUAGUGGCUACUUUGCAACCAUUUUGCAGUUGUAUGGAAAAUAAAAGUUAAAGUCCUCUUUUUGAAACAUGCAACUGCGACAAAUCAUUCACCACUGUUUCAUCACAGAAAUAUGUAUCAGCAACAUGGUACAUCAAGUUCAAGAGUAUUUACUGGGAAAAUGCCUAUUUGCUGGUGUGUGUGUGUCUGUGUGAAA